Molecule: ribosomal RNA, 397 nt
Filed under: uncultured bacterium
Lineage: Bacteria
Description: partial 16S ribosomal RNA
Rfam family: Bacterial small subunit ribosomal RNA
Source: RNAcentral
AUACGGAGGGGGCGAGCGUUGUCCGGAAUGAUUGGGCGUAAAGGGCGCGUAGGCGGCCAUUUAAGUCUGGAGUGAAAGUCCUGUUUUCAAGAUGGGAAUUGCUUUGGAUACUGGGUGGCUUGAGUGCAGGAGAGGUUAUCGGAAUUCCCGGUGUAGCGGUGAAAUGCGUAGAGAUCGGGAGGAACACCAGUGGCGAAGGCGGGUAACUGGACUGCAACUGACGCUGAGGCGCGAAAGUGUGGGGAGCAAACAGGAUUAGAUACCCUGGUAGUCCACACUGUAAACGAUGAAUGCUAGGUGUAAGGGGUAUCGACCCCUUUUGUGCCGGAGUUAACACAAUAAGCAUUCCGCCUGGGGAGUACGGCCGCAAGGUUGAAACUCAAAGGAAUUGACGGGG